RNAcentral lists this ribosomal RNA (335 nucleotides) under Listeria monocytogenes. Its description in RNAcentral is "bacterial SSU rRNA". It matches the Rfam family "Bacterial small subunit ribosomal RNA", at positions 1016 to 1353 of the family's 1533-position model. Lineage: Bacteria; Bacillati; Bacillota; Bacilli; Caryophanales; Listeriaceae. The record is from RNAcentral.
CCCUUCGGGGACAAAGUGACAGGUGGUGCAUGGUUGUCGUCAGCUCGUGUCGUGAGAUGUUGGGUUAAGUCCCGCAACGAGCGCAACCCUUGAUUUUAGUUGCCAGCAUUUAGUUGGGCACUCUAAAGUGACUGCCGGUGCAAGCCGGAGGAAGGUGGGGAUGACGUCAAAUCAUCAUGCCCCUUAUGACCUGGGCUACACACGUGCUACAAUGGAUAGUACAAAGGGUCGCGAAGCCGCGAGGUGGAGCUAAUCCCAUAAAACUAUUCUCAGUUCGGAUUGUAGGCUGCAACUCGCCUACAUGAAGCCGGAAUCGCUAGUAAUCGUGGAUCAGC